RNAcentral lists this ribosomal RNA (506 nucleotides) under uncultured bacterium. Its description in RNAcentral is "partial 16S ribosomal RNA". It matches the Rfam family "Bacterial small subunit ribosomal RNA", at positions 30 to 523 of the family's 1533-position model. The record is from RNAcentral.
AUUGAACGCUGGCGGCAGGCCUAACACAUGCAAGUCGAACGGUAACAGGAAACAGCUUGCUGUUUCGCUGACGAGUGGCGGACGGGUGAGUAAUGUCUGGGAAACUGCCUGAUGGAGGGGGAUAACUACUGGAAACGGUAGCUAAUACCGCAUAACGUCGCAAGACCAAAGAGGGGGACCUUCGGGCCUUUUGCCAUCGGAUGUGCCCAGAUGGGAUUAGCUAGUAGGGGGGGUAACGGCUCACCUAGGCGACGAUCCCUAGCUGGUCUGAGAGGAUGACCAGCCACACUGGAACUGAGACACUGUCCAGACUCCUACGGGAGUCAGCAGUGGGGAAUAUUGCACAAUGGGCGCAAGCCUGAUGCAGCCAUGCCGCGUGUAUGAAGAAGGCCUUCGGGUUGUAAAGUACUUUCAGCGGGGAGGAAGGGAGUAAAGUUAAUACCUUUGCUCAUUGACGUUACCCGAAGAAGAAGCACCGGCUAACUCCGUGCCAGCCGCCGCAGUAA